GAUGAAGAACGUAGCGAAAUGCGAUAAGUAGUGUGAAUUGCAGAAUUCAGUGAAUCAUCGAAUCUUUGAACGCACAUUGCGCCCCUUGGUAUUCCAUGGGGCAUGCCUGUUCGAGCGUCAUUUGUACCUUCAAGCUUUGCUUGGUGUUGGGUGUUUGUCUCGCCUCUGCGUGUAGACUCGCCUCAAAACAAUUGGCAGCCGGCGUAUUGAUUUCGGAGCGCAGUACAUCUCGCGCUUUGCACUCAUAACGACGACGUCCAAAAGUACAUUUUUACACUCUUGACCUCGGAUCAGGUAGGGAUACCCGCUGAACUUAAGCAUAUCAAAUAAGCGGAGGA
RNAcentral lists this unclassified non-coding RNA (338 nucleotides) under soil metagenome. Its description in RNAcentral is "partial contains 5.8S ribosomal RNA, internal transcribed spacer 2, and large subunit ribosomal RNA". The stretch from base 1 to 120 matches the Rfam family "5.8S ribosomal RNA", at positions 35 to 154 of the family's 154-position model. The record is from RNAcentral.